RNAcentral lists this ribosomal RNA (484 nucleotides) under uncultured bacterium. Its description in RNAcentral is "partial 16S ribosomal RNA". It matches the Rfam family "Bacterial small subunit ribosomal RNA", at positions 28 to 523 of the family's 1533-position model. The record is from RNAcentral.
GAUGAACGUUGGCGGCGUGGAUUAGGCAUGCAAGUCGUGCGGAAGUGGCCCGCAAGGGUUACUUCAGCGGCGAAAGGGAGAGUAAUACGUAGGUACCUACCCCUGGAACCGGGAUAGCUGCGGGAAACUGCAGGUAAUACCGGAUAACGUCUCCGGACCAAAGGUGUGAUUCCGUCCGGGGAGGGGCCUGCGUCCUAUUAGCUAGUUGGUGAGGUGAUGGCUCACCAAGGCAAAGAUGGGUACGGGGUAUGAGAGCAUGCCCCCGCUCACUGGGACUGAGACACUGCCCAGACACCUACGGGUGGCUGCAGUCGAGGAUCUUCGGCAAUGGGGGAAACCCUGACCGAGCGACGCCGCGUGUGGGAUGAAGGCCCUCGGGUUGUAAACCACUGUCAGAGGGGAUGAAAUGCUAUGGGGUUCUCUCCAUAGUUUGACAUAUCCUCAGAGGAAGGACGGGCUAAGUUCGUGCCAGCCGCCGCCGUAA